GUGAGGAAUAUUGGUCAAUGGGCGAGAGCCUGAACCAGCCAAGUCGCGUGAAGGAAGAAGGAUCUAUGGUUCGUAAACUUCUUUUGCAGGGGAAUAAAGUGCAGGACGUGUCCUGUUUUGUAUGUACCCUGAGAAUAAGGAUCGGCUAACUCCGUGCCAGCAGCCGCGGUAAUACGGAGGAUCCGAGCGUUAUCCGGAUUUAUUGGGUUUAAAGGGUGCGUAGGUGGUUUGAUAAGUCAGCGGUGAAAGUUUGCAGCUUAACUGUAGAAAUGCCGUUGAAACUGUCGGACUUGAGUGUAAAUGAGGUAGGCGGAAUGCGUGGUGUAGCGGUGAAAUGCAUAGAUAUCACGCAGAACUACGAUUGCGAAGGCAGCUUACUAAGCUACAACUGACACUGAAGCACGAAAGCGUGGGGAUCAAACAGGAUUAGAAACCCUGGUAGUCC
RNAcentral lists this ribosomal RNA (445 nucleotides) under uncultured bacterium. RNAcentral describes it as "partial 16S ribosomal RNA". It matches the Rfam family "Bacterial small subunit ribosomal RNA", at positions 354 to 796 of the family's 1533-position model. The record is from RNAcentral.